UCAUUUAAACAGAUCACCCAAAUGUGAAAGAGCCACCGUUUAGUAGGCGUGUAUGAUGGCUCUUUAAAUAUAGACUGUGAUAUAAUGUUAUAAACCUUGGUGCACGCACUUAAAUAGUUUCGGUAAAAGUUUUUUUACAAUGCACUUUAAUGUGGCUCACCACACUAUAAUUAUAAAAAAAUCGUUCGACCACAAAGUUUAAAGUCCGUGUGAACAGGAAAAUGCAGACGAUAAAUUAAGUGGUCAUCUACAAUGGAAAUGAUACAAAUACACGAAAAAUCACCGCGGCGUGAUGCAGUUAUUGUAUCAUCGUAAAUCCGUUUGUUAUUUGUAAAGGGAGAUUGCUGUGCUAAAGGGUCAAGGGUUCAGGGUUCAUAACCGGGUGUUAUGUAGGUGUACAAUGACUUGAUAGGAAGAAGUUGAUAUAUUGUCAAGUGGUGAAGGGCAGGCUUGGCUACUAUAAAAGAUUUAAGUGUCACACGUGACAGGACACACUAAAUUAACCGCUGAAACCCAACUAAAUAACUGGUAAAACAUUCACUUAUCUUUAGGUGUCUAUUGUCUAAUAAAGUCUAUACUAAAUACAAAGUAAACAAUCGUGCUACCAAUUAUCAUGACUUAACUUUAUUAUCUAUUUUUAAUGUGAAAAAAAAAUUCUGUAAAUGUACCUGAACUUCAAAUAUGCAUAAUUGUAUCGGGUUUUAGAUACUCAUUGUGUUAUUUCAGUGUUAUUUCAUGAGCUACAAAAGUUAAAUCAUUUAAAAUAAUUAUUUGUUAAAUGGAUCAAAUGGAAACUCUCUCAGUAGAUUGAUAUAUCCUUACUGCAGUCUGUAAAGUUUAUAUUAUGGAUUAAUAAAGUAACGUACUGAAAUCGAUUACAGAUAGAAGUAUACAGAAUACGGCAAGAUUACCUGACGCAUUUAGAAAACUAAGGGGUCCGAGUAUGUAUGAACGCGCGUUGCUACGCACCUGUAUUUAAGGGACAGAACCGAGUUAAGGUUUAACACAAGUUAUCAGUUACAAUUUUUGAUAACAAAGAUAACAGAAGUUUUUGUGAAGAUUGUACGGUGCUUAACAUGUGUACAUUUAUACGGAUAUUUACAGGGAUUUUAAUUUAAUGAUAAAAAUGUAUCUGGGUGGUUCGUGUAUGAUUCACACAUUCUAGUGGUUGUGGAGAUUUAAAACAAGUGAGCAUUUGUUUUGUAUUAUAUGCUCAUGAGAUACUCUCUUUAAACACAAACAUGUUGAUUCUAUGGAGCAUACAGUGAUUCUACUAUCUUACAAAACUACUCAACAUAUUUUCUAUCGGAGGUACAAGACGUUGGAGCAGUGCUUUCAUGAAGACAUGAUAAGAGAUUAGCUUUUAUGUUUAAUGUAGAAAACAUGUGUUUAAAGUAAUGUGAAUAUGGAGCUGAUACAGAAUAGGUAGAACCGAGAAGAGUUGAUAUUACCCGAAAUCUAGUCAAGUUAUAUUAUAAUUACUAUUGUGGAUAUACGACCAAACAAAUCAGGAACAAUGGUGAAGCUUUCGGUUGCCAUGGAGGUGGAGGAGUUAGUUAUAGCUAUUCAGGAAGUGAUGGCAGAAAUGUCGGAUAAAUAUUUAACGUUUGUUUGGCUCGGCCUUUUUGGCUUUAUAGUGUUGAUAUUUCUUGCAUCGCUCGUUGGCUCGUUAUGUGGAUUAUCAUGUUACAAUUUUUACCAGAAGAGGAGAAAAACGUUGAAAAAGCGGAAAAAAUCAUAUCAUUUAGCUAAAACAAGUGCCGCCACAGAGGAAAAGGAUAUUUAAAGACAAGUGUUCUUGUUAUUUGUUGUUAUUUUGUGUAUUUUUGUACAUAUGCUUCAGUACCAUUUACAAUGGCAGCAUUACAUACACGACGCAAUUCUAAACUAUACUUCGCCUUACAUAAUAACGUCUUAUGCUUUUUCUGUAAUUUGUCAUUAUUUCAUUCAUCUGUUAAUUAGCAAUAUGAAAUAUUGUAUUCAUAUAUUCAUCGUGUUUUAUUUUAGUGUAAUAGUGGCCAUUUAAAUACAACAUUCCUAGUUAGCUAUUUAAGGGAAUUAGUAGGUCGGUUCACUAUUAGUUAUAAUUGCCUCUAUAGAACAGAACUGAUAAUAGCGAAUGUGCUAUUAUUUUUAUAAUUGAAUGUGCUGUUAUUUUGUUAUUCUGCAUAAUGUAUUCCUGCAGUAAAGUCCGGAUAUACCAUUGAUUUAUCGACUGAUUUUAACACGGCUUUUAUCAAUAUUAGAAUUCACCGUGACCUUUAUGCAAGGAAAUAUAUUUCCUGCUACAAUAUAGAAUACUGCAAUUUGCUCGAAAACGAUGUAAUUAAUUCAAUUUAGUAUACAUACUGACCUUUCUACGGAGAACCUCUACUUAAGUUAAUAGCUAUGGUUAAAUCUGAAACAACAAAAUAGUUUGACGUGUAACUUUUCUAUCUAUUUAGUUAAUUUACACUCAUGUUGUUUAAAUUGUUUAAUCAGUUAAUAUUUGUAUAAGAUAAUAUAAACUGCGUUUGACCAGCAUGUGUAUUUAUUUUGUACUAAAAUGUUCAAACACGUUUAAUUGUCAAGUUGUUAAAAGUCCUUAUAAUAUGUACAAUUAAGUACUGGAUAUGUUACUUGUACAUGUAUAGUUUAUCAAAAACGUGUACAUGGAGCCUAACUUAGAACGGAAAUGUGUAAUCGAAACAUGUUUUCCUUUUGAAAUUAAAUUGUACCAAAAUAGCAAAUUAGUAAAUUGGUUCAUUGUUUCAACAUGCUUCUUGGUACAAAUGUAAGUAGUAUUAUUUUAAGCGCCCUGUAGCAUCCUGUACACGAACAUGAUAAGACAACAAUAAUGUUGUUAUUUACAUUCCCUAGCUUAAUUGGAUUCCCCACCGUUACGAGUUUACCGCCUAUCUCGUUCGUAUACCCUGUGAGAAACAGUGUAACAGUUUCCAAACGCAGACCUGUACGUAAAGAAUAGGUAAACAAAAUUUUUGAUUAAAUUGUUACAUUUAUUGUAUAUAAACUGCAAAUAUUUCUUCAAUAUAAUGUUUGAAUACAAUACUUCACCCAAUUGUAAUUUGAAAUUUAUUAUUGAUAUGAAACUGUUAUUAUAAACGGCUUAUUUAAAGGCACAUUAUGCCUCAGAAUUCCAUAUUUUUGUACUUUUUGUCAACCUCGAGUUAAAAAAUGUUUAUAAUGGAUUCAGAGCAUAAACGAUGUUUUACAGCUAACGAAAAGGUGCCUGAAUGAAUGUGCAGUAAUGUGUCGUAAAUACAGUAAUAUGUAAACAAAGCAGUAUUUUGACUUCCACUUUAAUUAAACCUAUUGCCAACAGAGCAAAAGAAGUAAAAGAUUGUUCAUCUACUUGGCAAAUGAGUAUUUUUGGAGACUGUAACAAGAAACAAAAAAAAAGUUUCUGAGAAAUAAAAUGACACCAUUUCUUAGGCAUAAUGGGCCUUUAAAGUAAGUUGAAAUUUUCGAAUAUUUUUUACUUUAAAUGUAAGGUACGCUUCAUACUUGGCUGGUAUUCAACAAGUACAAUUGUGGCAGAAAUAUUUUACAAAAAAAUCUUGGCAAAACUCGGCACUAAUGUUCAUAGCAGGUGAUAUUAAUAUGAAAAUAUAGUUCAUGCUGUUUAUGUUAAAAUUUCGGACGAAUUUUUUUCACAUGAUAACAAUUGCUUGCCUAUUUGAACAGUUUGUGUUUAUCUCAUCUGAUCUCAUAUACAUGUAUGUUAGUUACAAAGUACAGCUGUGGACCAUCACUGUGCUCUAAUUGAUAGUGUACAUGUAUAUGUAGUUUAUGCUCGCACUGGUAUACAUGUACAUUACACACAAAUGCUUACUGUUUGUUGACUAAAUGUACAUAGCUUUACCGCUGUUAAUGUCAUUGGUGGCAUUCAUAAAUGUAACAUUUUUAUAUCUUAUUACACAAAUAUGCCCUUAUGAAAUAUAUUUUAUGUUCACUUACUUGUGCUCGUGCGUCAUGCCGCAACUUAUCAAAUUUCGUAUAUUAUAUUUAUAUAAAAAGAUCAACAUUUGUUUACUUUGUUCAGUAAUGCAUGAGAAUGAAAGAAAUGUCUUAUCAUAAAUUUUUUAUAUGUAUGACAGACUGCGUAUUAUUUAAAAAAAAGUGGCAUUUGAAUAGUUUAGUAAUUUAAAAAGAUAUUCAGUUUUAAAAGAAUCGAACAAAAUAUUUUGUGAAUAAUGCUAUACGUGUAAUGCGUUUACUUGGAGCUACUUUACAUCGUAGUAAACAAAUUAGAUAUUGGCAUAAGAAUAAAGAGGUCUUGAUAGUUCUUGAUGUUAUCUACAUUUACUUCCCUUGACAUAUUGGGAAGUCAUUUGUCGAGGACAAAUUAAAAAUAACCCCAUUAAACCGAUAGUAGAAGAAUGUUUAAGUUUCUUUAAUUAAAUAUAUGUAGAGAAUUAAAUGCUAGCUACAGUAACGAAUCAGUAUUCUUUGAUAUUUAAGAGUUGUGAGAGAUUUCUUCCAAGGAUGGCCAUACUUUUGUGUAUAAAAUGGCUGGUAGGGGAGGUAAUUCAUGAUGUUUUAAAAAACAAUCUACAUUAUUUAAGUUUUCAAUAUAUAAUUAAUCUUAACAUUUAGAAUUAACUGAAUAAAGAAUAAAUGUAAAUUGAACAAGUUUUAAGUUACCGUCAUAAACUGCCAAAUUUGCAAUUACGCUACAAACUCAGCAAUGUUGCCAUAUAUUUUUAUGUACAUUGUACAUGUUUGAGCUCGCCAAACGAAUAUAAUUUUGUUUUUUGUUAAUAAAGACAAUCCGUACUUUGGGUAUGAUACUCUAUAAUUAAUGUACAUAUAUACAUGUAUAUAUUUAUUGCAUGUUUGUGUUUGAACAAGCAUAAAUUGCAUGUGGACCUACGAUUAUUAUUAUUACAGUUUUUACAUUUAUCUAUCUAAAUGCUUCGCAUCUAGUCCUGCAACUUGUAUUUAAAUGAAAUUGUUCGUCUGUUGAUAAUUGUGUAUUUCUCACAUUAUAUCAGUACCUCAUGGGUUCAUUUGUUUUAAUGCUUUAUUUGUUUACUUAUAUGUUUAUCUCCAUUGCUAUAACAAUGUUCAUGCCUUAAUUUCAUUUUGAAUCCAAUCUGUAAAAAACAUACGGUAUAUUUAUAUAAAAUCAAAUUACAUAAAA
Ruditapes philippinarum (Manila clam) is the source of this 5143-nucleotide long non-coding RNA. RefSeq lists it as uncharacterized. The transcript has 2 exons. The record is from RefSeq and is a predicted model, not a curated record. Lineage: Eukaryota; Metazoa; Mollusca; Bivalvia; Venerida; Veneridae.